GACGAACGCUGGCGGCGUGCUUAACACAUGCAAGUCGAACGGAAAGGCCCCUUUGGGGGUACUCGAGUGGCGAACGGGUGAGUAACACGUGAGUAACCUGCCCUUGACUUCGGGAUAACUUCAGAAAACUGGGGCUAAUACCGGAUAGGAAUCCUUGCUGCAUGGUGGGGGUUGGAAAGCUUAGGCGGUUUUGGAUGGACUCGCGGCGUAUCAGCUUGUUGGUGGGGUAGUGGCUUACCAAGGCUUUGACGGGUAGCCGGCCUGAGAGGGCGACCGGCCACAUUGGGUCCGAGUGCAGGCCCAGACUCCCACUGGGGGCCGCAGUGCGGAAUUCUGCCCAAUCGGCGGAGGCCGGAUGCAGCAACGCCGCGUGCCGGAUGACGGCCUUCGGGUUGUAAACCGCUUUCAGCAGGGGCGAAGCUUGUCGUGACGGUACCUGCAGAAGAAGCACCGGCUAACUACGUG
Molecule: ribosomal RNA, 465 nt
Filed under: uncultured bacterium
Lineage: Bacteria
Description: partial 16S ribosomal RNA
Rfam family: Bacterial small subunit ribosomal RNA
Source: RNAcentral